UGGGUUUGACAUACAGGUGGUAGCGAAUUGAAAGAGGAGCGAGCCUUAGGGGAGUCUGAAC
RNAcentral lists this ribosomal RNA (61 nucleotides) under uncultured bacterium. RNAcentral describes it as "partial 16S ribosomal RNA". The record is from RNAcentral.